RNAcentral lists this long non-coding RNA (847 nucleotides) under Mus musculus (house mouse). RNAcentral's name for it is "predicted gene, 50025". The record is from RNAcentral. Lineage: Eukaryota; Metazoa; Chordata; Mammalia; Rodentia; Muridae.
CAAGAUCAACGUUGCCUUUAACCAUUUGUCUUUUGCUGUUCUUCCUUGGGGCUUUGGGCUCUGAAGAUGAUGGUAGCAAUGACCACGAUGGUACCAAGGAUGGUGGCUUCUCUGUUCAAGCACAUAUUAGCAAGGAGGCCUCCAGGGGUAGGGUCUUCUGGACUGGUCCAUCCUGAAAGCCAAAGAGCCCAAACUAUCUCAAGAGAGGCCAGGGAGAUAAAAACAUGAGUAUAUGACUAUCUGGGUCUCAGAAUCAGAUCCUCUGGGGUUCUUGCCCCAGUGGUUUCUAUAGUGGUGAUGCCUCUGUGUCCUGUUGCUUAGGGGUGCUCUUCUCCACAUAGAGCUGUCCCACUUGCUGAGAGUCCCAGACUCUCCUCAGCAGGAGGACUAGAGGACAUAUUGGGGAGACAUGACAGGGACAUGGGGACUGGGAGUUACAGGGAUGUGAGGCAGAUCCAUGGGGAAUGGGGACACCUGAAUGCUAUUUUGCUCCUGUGUCGCAUCAGUAUAUUAGAACCUUCUAGAACACUCAAUCCAGACACGCCCACAGGGAAGAAGCUGGGGUGCUGAAGGCCAAGAUGAAGGAAUAGGGCCAUGAGUUCAGGCAGUUCAACACUGGAUGCAAGAGGAAACAGAAGAACAUAUUACUUAUUUAUUUUGUUACUGUGACCAAAAUAGCCAUUUUGUGGGAUGCAAUCUGUGGGAAGAAAGGUGUAUUGUGGCUUAGCGGGAAAUGUGCACAGGCAGCUCCUCACAUCUUGGCAGAUCAGGAAACAGAGACCAGACUAAACUAAGGCUUGGCUCUAACUCUCAAAGUGCACCCCAAAUGAGGUACUUCCUCCAGAGG